This 1366-nucleotide ribosomal RNA is filed under the name Staphylococcus aureus. RNAcentral describes it as "partial 23S ribosomal RNA". It matches the Rfam family "Bacterial large subunit ribosomal RNA", at positions 1559 to 2925 of the family's 2925-position model. The record is from RNAcentral. Lineage: Bacteria; Bacillati; Bacillota; Bacilli; Caryophanales; Staphylococcaceae.
AGCUGUGAUGGGGAGAAGACAUUGUGUCUUCGAGUCGUUGAUUUCACACUGCCGAGAAAAGCCUCUAGAUAGAAAAUAGGUGCCCGUACCGCAAACCGACACAGGUAGUCAAGAUGAGAAUUCUAAGGUGAGCGAGCGAACUCUCGUUAAGGAACUCGGCAAAAUGACCCCGUAACUUCGGGAGAAGGGGUGCUCUUUAGGGUUAACGCCCAGAAGAGCCGCAGUGAAUAGGCCCAAGCGACUGUUUAUCAAAAACACAGGUCUCUGCUAAACCGUAAGGUGAUGUAUAGGGGCUGACGCCUGCCCGGUGCUGGAAGGUUAAGAGGAGUGGUUAGCUUCUGCGAAGCUACGAAUCGAAGCCCCAGUAAACGGCGGCCGUAACUAUAACGGUCCUAAGGUAGCGAAAUUCCUUGUCGGGUAAGUUCCGACCCGCACGAAAGGCGUAACGAUUUGGGCACUGUCUCAACGAGAGACUCGGUGAAAUCAUAGUACCUGUGAAGAUGCAGGUUACCCGCGACAGGACGGAAAGACCCCGUGGAGCUUUACUGUAGCCUGAUAUUGAAAUUCGGCACAGCUUGUACAGGAUAGGUAGGAGCCUUUGAAACGUGAGCGCUAGCUUACGUGGAGGCGCUGGUGGGAUACUACCCUAGCUGUGUUGGCUUUCUAACCCGCACCACUUAUCGUGGUGGGAGACAGUGUCAGGCGGGCAGUUUGACUGGGGCGGUCGCCUCCUAAAAGGUAACGGAGGCGCUCAAAGGUUCCCUCAGAAUGGUUGGAAAUCAUUCAUAGAGUGUAAAGGCAUAAGGGAGCUUGACUGCGAGACCUACAAGUCGAGCAGGGUCGAAAGACGGACUUAGUGAUCCGGUGGUUCCGCAUGGAAGGGCCAUCGCUCAACGGAUAAAAGCUACCCCGGGGAUAACAGGCUUAUCUCCCCCAAGAGUUCACAUCGACGGGGAGGUUUGGCACCUCGAUGUCGGCUCAUCGCAUCCUGGGGCUGUAGUCGGUCCCAAGGGUUGGGCUGUUCGCCCAUUAAAGCGGUACGCGAGCUGGGUUCAGAACGUCGUGAGACAGUUCGGUCCCUAUCCGUCGUGGGCGUAGGAAAUUUGAGAGGAGCUGUCCUUAGUACGAGAGGACCGGGAUGGACAUACCUCUGGUGUACCAGUUGUCGUGCCAACGGCAUAGCUGGGUAGCUAUGUGUGGACGGGAUAAGUGCUGAAAGCAUCUAAGCAUGAAGCCCCCCUCAAGAUGAGAUUUCCCAACUUCGGUUAUAAGAUCCCUCAAAGAUGAUGAGGUUAAUAGGUUCGAGGUGGAAGCAUGGUGACAUGUGGAGCUGACGAAUACUAAUCGAUCGAAGACUUAAUCAAAA